Molecule: long non-coding RNA, 1339 nt
Filed under: Coturnix japonica (Japanese quail)
Lineage: Eukaryota; Metazoa; Chordata; Aves; Galliformes; Phasianidae
Description: lncRNA (ENSCJPG00005008290.1)
Source: RNAcentral
AAAUGUUCCCCAUACGCCCUGACCCCUAACGCAUAACGACCCAUAACCCUUACACCCCUACGACCAUCAACCCCUUGUUUCCCACUCACUCUCUCCGGACGCCUCCAGCUUUGCGGGGCCACUGGGCUCUAUAGGGCAGAUAUAGAUAUAUAUAUAGGGCAUAGUUAUGGGGUGGCUGUGGGGUGGUUGUGGGGUGGCUGUGGGGUGGCUAUGGGGUGGUUAUGGGGUGGCUGUGAGGCAGUUAUGGGGCUGGUUAUGGGCUGGUUAUGGGGCAGUUAUGGGCUGGUUAUGGGGUGGUUGUGGGCUGGUUAUGGGGCUGGUUAUGGGGUGGUUGUGGGCUGGUUAUGGGGUGGUUGUGGGGCCCCACCUGAGCUCUGCCCCUCUGCGGUCACCGCGUGCAGCGCUGCACUGCUCGACUCUGGGGGGGAAACAUGGCCCCAUAGACACAUAUGGCCCCAUAGGGCCCCAUAGACCCAUAUGGCCCCAUAGGGCCCCAUAGCCACACUCAGCCCCAUAGGGCCCCAUAGACCCAUAUGGCCCCACACACGGACCCAUAUGGCCCCACACAGCCCCAUAGGCACACACAGCCCCGUAGCCCCCACAGCCCCAUAUGGAGCCAUAUGGCCCCAUGGCCCUACAAGUCCCCAUAGCCCCAUAUAGCCCCAUAGCCACACACGGCCCCGUAUGGCCCCAUAUGACCCCAUAGAUUCCCAUAGCCUCCACAGACCCAUAUGGGCCCAUAUGGCCCUACAAGGCCCUACAAGGCCCCAUAACCCCAUAUGGCCCCAUAGCCCCACAUGGUCCCAUAUGGCCCUAUAGCCCCACAUGGCCACAUAUGGCCCCAUAGCCACACACGGACCCAUAUGGCUCCAUAUGGCCCCACAAAGCCCCAUAGCCCCCACAGCCCCAUAUAGAGCCAUAUGGCCCUACAAGUCCCCAUAGCCCCAUAUAGCCCCAUAGCCCCACAUGGCCCCAUAUGGCCCCACACAACCCCAUAGCCACACACAGCCCCAUAGCCACACACGGCCCUGUAUGGCCCCAUAUGACCCCAUAGAUUCCCAUAGCCUCCACAGACCCAUAUGGGCCCAUAUGGCCCUACAAGGCCCUACAAGGCCCCAUAGCCCCACAUGGCCCCAUAGCCACACAUGGCCCCAUAUGGCACCAUAGCCCCACACGGCCCCAUAUGGCACCAUAGCUACACAUGGCCCCAUAUGGCCCCAUAACCCCAUAGCCCCAUAGCCCCACACGGCCCCAUAUGGCACCAUAGCUACACAUGGCCCCAUAUGGCCCCAUAACCCCAUAUGGCCCCAUAACCCCAUAUGGCCCCAUAGCCCCCACA